GAUGAAGAACGUAGCGAAAUGCGAUAAUUAAUGUGAAUUGCAGAAAUCCGUGAAUCAUCGAGUCUUUGAACGCACAUUGCGCCCCCUGGUAUUCCGGGGGGCAUGCCUGUCCGAGCGUCAUUGCUGCCCUCAAGCACGGCUUGUGUGUUGGGCCUCCGUCCUCCUCCCGGGGGACGGGCCCGAAAGGCAGCGGCGGCACCGCGUCCGGUCCUCGAGCGUAUGGGGCUUCGUCACCCGCUCUUGUAGGCCCGGCCGGCGCUUGCCGACACAUCAAUCUUUUUUCCAGGUUGACCUCGGAUCAGGUAGGGAUACCCGCUGAACUUAAGCAUAUCAAUAAGCGGAGGA
Molecule: unclassified non-coding RNA, 345 nt
Filed under: soil metagenome
Description: partial contains 5.8S ribosomal RNA, internal transcribed spacer 2, and large subunit ribosomal RNA
Rfam family: 5.8S ribosomal RNA (bases 1-120)
Source: RNAcentral